UUAAGUGAAGCUCAGAAGAGCAUUUAACUGUUAAUUAAAAGGUCGCAAAAUAUGCCACUUAAAC
This 64-nucleotide transfer RNA is filed under the name Lactiforis takii. RNAcentral describes it as "tRNA-Asn". It matches the Rfam family "tRNA". Rfam says of the family: Transfer RNA (tRNA) molecules are approximately 80 nucleotides in length. The record is from RNAcentral. Lineage: Eukaryota; Metazoa; Mollusca; Gastropoda; Amphibolidae.